UACGGAGGGUGCAAGCGUUAUCCGGAUUUACUGGGUUUAAAGGGUGCGUAGGUGGUUAGGCAAGUCAGUGGUGAAAUCUUCGGGCUUAACCCGGAAACUGCCAUUGAUACUAUUUAUCUUGAAUACUUUGGAGGUAAGCGGAAUAUGUCAUGUAGCGGUGAAAUGCUUAGAUAUGACAUAGAACACCAAUUGCGAAGGCAGCUUACUACACAGUUAUUGACACUGAGGCACGAAAGCGUGGGGAUCAAACAGG
RNAcentral lists this ribosomal RNA (253 nucleotides) under uncultured bacterium. RNAcentral describes it as "partial 16S ribosomal RNA". It matches the Rfam family "Bacterial small subunit ribosomal RNA", at positions 524 to 776 of the family's 1533-position model. The record is from RNAcentral.